CCCGGCGCCGGGGCGGAGCGGCUCUGAGCGGCGCGGCCCGGCCUCUGGGGCUUUCCACCGUUUUCGUUUUAGUAAAGGAGUGACUUAUCCUUCCAGUUUCAAAAUGAAGACAGUUUUCACCUUAUACAUCAAAAGAAGAAACGUCACAUGGCUGACAAUACUGAAGGACUUCUAGAAAGACUGAGGCGGCUGCCACCACUAUCUAGAGUCUGAUACACAGCUGUAUGGAGAAUUUUAAUUAUCUGAAUGUUUUAUAUUGUCUGGUUUCCUCUUGGCUGUGAAAACUCGUCCAACUGGGGUGGACUGUAAACAUGCCUGGAUUUCUGUCUGAUCACCAGUGCCACCGCCUGGCUCUGACUGUCAUCACAAGGUGGUUGUAAGCCCAACUUAAAAUCUUAAAAACAAUAGUUCUUGGAAAUGACACAUUCACCUCUUCUUUAUUUGGUUAGACACACAAGAAAAGAUAGCACUCUUGGCUGCAACCAGACAAAUUCCUAGUGAGUCCAACAUAAACUCAGAUUUGGAUGGGCUCAGCCUCAUUCAGUAUCUGACCUACAACUGAAGAAACUGCACAAGGAAUGCACUGUAGGAUUCCAGCAGAUAUCCAGAGGUUUUGCUAAAUCUCCAGAAAUAGAUUCCAUCCUAUUCAAAGUUUAAAAUUAUGAGAUUUCUUGCUGAAGUCAGAGUAAGAUUUUUAACACAGGAUCAAGGCCCUCUCUGAAAAGCUGUAUUUAAAACUCUAAAAAAGCAGGGGAAAGGUACAUUACAAAUGAGAUAGAAGGAGUAAAGAAGUUUUAACAGACAAGCAGGGCAAAUAAAACAUCCUGUUUGAGGCCAGAUACAGCAUCCAGGAAGGCUCAGGCAUUAUAAAUAGACAUGAAUUUGCUUUAUUAUAAAUUUAUCACAUCCACGCAGUGACAAUGGUACAAUCUGAUUUAUUUCCCAGACCUUGUAAGCUCUGGUUGAUACUCUGUAGUUGAAAAACAUCAGGAGAGAGGGUCUUGCCAAGAACAUCAGAGUCAGAAAGUGAAAGCCCCUGCCAAGGCCAUGAGUUCAGAGGGUAGGAAAUUUCCAAGAUGAAAUUUAUCAGGGGCUUAAAAAGCAUCCCAGUACCUGUGGAGAAAAACACCCUGAGCUUUCCAGAACACUUUUAGUUGAAGACAGAAAGGAAGAGCCCACUUGGUAUGGUAGAUGAGUAAACAGGUUUAGCUGAUGAAUCAGCCAUGGUCAGAGCAAAAAAACUGACUUUGAAGCAGAGUGAGAAUAAUCCUUCAGUGGUGUCUACGCUCCCUUACACGUGAUGAAUUCUCUCUGCAUUGCUUGUCUGCAGGAGUACUAUCAUGGUUCUCUCUGGAGACCCUCAGGCAUAGCUAACAACAUAAAACUAUUCACUGCACCCAUUUGCAAUAUUAACAGGUUAUUCCAUAUCUUCUCCCAGUCAUACAGGCUGGUCAAUCCAGGGUCCUUCCCUGAAGGUGCUCCAGUGUGUCUCCUGCAAGGAUUCUGACAUCUGUCCCAGCAAACAGGCAUUUGGUGUGUGCACUCUCAGGUCUAGAUAGAUGCAGUUUUCUACAGAAUAUAGUAUGAACAUUAAUCAUUAAUGUACCAUCUCUUCCCAGCCAGUGAAGGCUGGUAGGUGAAAGGUUCAAUGAAAGCAAAAGGAUUUGCUUUGCAAAAAAUUAUCUUUCACAUAGCUAAGUUGUGGAGCACCUUGCCACAGAUGCUGCAAAUGAUGAAAAUUUACUUGGGCUCAAGAGGAGUCUUGGUAGGUUAAGAAAGAGAAACAAGAAGAGGGUUAGUAAAUACACAGAAGCCACCUCUGCCUUGAGAAGUCACCGAGCCACAGAUGGCUGUAGAAUAGUAGUCAAAAACCCUGUCAUGAUUUCUUGCCUACUGUAUUCCAGACAUCCAUUCUGGACCUCCAGGUACUAUCCUAGGUGGAUAAGGAAUAGACACUUUACAGUCUUCUGAUUCAGAGUCCCAUGGGAUUGAGUACACACGGAAGUUUUAUCGAAGCUGAAGCACAAUCCACCUUCACCCACCUAUGGGUUGCCCAAGGUUACUUAAAGUGUUAAUGACAAAGCUACAAAUAAAACAGAAUUAUCUCAGCACAUUCACUCAUUCCAAUGACUCAGUCCUGUCUGUACACAGCAAAUAAAUAAUUAACAAGCAUUGAAAACAGCACACCUGUAGUACAGCUCUAAUUUGUCCUAUUGCUCUUGCACACACCAUUAUUCUAUCCAUAUGUAAAUAUGAUCAGAGGUUAUUUACAUUUUAACAUAAAAACUAUGUAUUACACUUUGUGUAAUUUCCACUAAUAAUGUUUAUGAAGCUAUAAUAUUACAGCAAACAGUGAUUUAUGGUAAAAGACAGCCAUUUCAUGGAAACAUGUGGUGUCAUAAAAAUAAUUCUGCUGAAAUAAAAGUGAGGAAACAGUUAACAAUGUUACAUUUUCAGUAUCAGGUUUCAGGAUAACAACCAGCUGCUUGAAUGCAAGAGAAGAAAUAUCUCUCAAGUUCAAGUUUAAGCCAGGUUGCUGGCAGGACUUUGGCGUCAUGCACUGCUGUCACAUUCCACCCAGCUUCUGAAUGCCAGCUUUGCAAUGUAAAAUAUUUAAAUACAAUCCUUCCAUCUUCCAAUUCAUACUUCUGCUAAGAAAAUGCAAAUUUAUAGAAAAUUCCAUAUCCAGGGAGCCAUGUGUAUUAAAUUCUCAGAAAGAUCGAUGUUUUCUGCUUGUGUAGCUGCUUUUCAAUAAGCUGUUGUACACUGUGUGCUCUUCUAACCUGCUUUCCCUAUGUGUGCUCUUAGGGAACAGCUGUGUAGUCAUUUUAAUCUGACAUAAAUUUGGCCUGUCUCUAACAUGGUUAGUCCCACCAUUCUUGUUCCCAGCUACUCUGAUUCACUGCCUCCCUCACUUAUGUACCUGAGCUGUAAGUUGUAUCAGGGAUCACAUCCUACUAAAAACAUAAUCUCUCUCCCAGUUUGCUGAGUCAGGUUUGGCUUUGUGCUGUGUUUAAUCUGAUCGAACUCUGUCCUGUCCCCUCCCUGUGCCACCCACAGCAUGCUAGAAAACACAUUAA
Long non-coding RNA from Vidua chalybeata, 3080 nucleotides. RefSeq lists it as uncharacterized. The transcript is spliced from 2 exons. NCBI's taxonomy places the organism in Eukaryota, Metazoa, Chordata, Aves, Passeriformes, Viduidae. The record is from RefSeq and is a predicted model, not a curated record.